GGGUCCGUGGUCUAGUGGUAUGACGUCGCCCUUACAAGGCGAAGAUCGUCGGUUCGAUCCCGACCGGACCCA
Molecule: transfer RNA, 72 nt
Filed under: Candidatus Aenigmatarchaeota archaeon
Lineage: Archaea; Nanobdellati; Candidatus Aenigmatarchaeota
Description: tRNA-Val
Rfam family: tRNA
About the family: Transfer RNA (tRNA) molecules are approximately 80 nucleotides in length. Their secondary structure includes four short double-helical elements and three loops (D, anti-codon, and T loops).
Source: RNAcentral